This 465-nucleotide ribosomal RNA is filed under the name uncultured bacterium. RNAcentral describes it as "bacterial SSU rRNA". It matches the Rfam family "Bacterial small subunit ribosomal RNA", at positions 28 to 490 of the family's 1533-position model. The record is from RNAcentral.
GACGAACGCUGGCGGCGUGCUUAAUACAUGCAAGUCAACUUGACUUUAGAUAGCAAUAUCGAAAAGUAGGGUGGCGCACGGGUGCGUAACGCGUAGGGUAAUCUGCCCUGAGGUCUGACAUAACCCGUCGAAAGGCGGGCUAACAUCAGAUGAUAUAUAGUCACGACAUCGUGGAAAAUAUCAAAUCUUCGGAGCCUUGGGAUGAGCCUGCGUCUGAUUAGGUAGUUGGCGGAGUAAUAGCCCACCAAGCCUACGAUCAGUAGCUGGUCUGAGAGGAUGAUCAGCCACACUGGAACUGAGACACGGUCCAGACUCCUACGGGAGGCAGCAGUAAGGAAUAUUGCUCAAUGGGGGAAACCCUGAAGCAGCAACGCCGCGUGAAGGAUGAAAUACUUUUGUAUGUAAACUUCUGUAAGAUGGGAAAAAUAUUCUCCUUGGGAGAAUUGAUUGUACCAUCAGAGUAAG